Molecule: transfer RNA, 77 nt
Filed under: Datura stramonium (jimsonweed)
Lineage: Eukaryota; Viridiplantae; Streptophyta; Magnoliopsida; Solanales; Solanaceae
Description: tRNA-His
Rfam family: tRNA
About the family: Transfer RNA (tRNA) molecules are approximately 80 nucleotides in length.
Source: RNAcentral
GGUCAUAAUUAGCCAAGUGGAUCAAGGCAGUGGAUUGUGAAUCCACCAUGCGCGGGUUCAAUUCUCGGUGUUCGCCC